Molecule: small nuclear RNA, 106 nt
Organism: Microtus ochrogaster (prairie vole)
Lineage: Eukaryota; Metazoa; Chordata; Mammalia; Rodentia; Cricetidae
Source: Ensembl
GUGCUCAUUUCAGCAGCAUAUGUUCUAAAAUUAGAAAGCCAGAGAGAUUAGCAUGGCCCCUGUACAAGGAUGACUCACAAAUUGGACUUAUUAGAAGCCCUACUCU